This 301-nucleotide ribosomal RNA is filed under the name uncultured bacterium. RNAcentral's name for it is "partial 16S ribosomal RNA". It matches the Rfam family "Bacterial small subunit ribosomal RNA", at positions 509 to 809 of the family's 1533-position model. The record is from RNAcentral.
CAGUCGCCGCGGUAAUACGAAGGGUGCAAGCGUUACUCGGAAUUACUGGGCGUAAAGCGUGCGUAGGUGGUGGUUUAAGUCCGUUGUGAAAGCCCUGGGCUCAACCUGGGAAUUGCAGUGGAUACUGGGUCACUAGAGUGUGGUAGAGGAUAGUGGAAUUUCCGGUGUAGCAGUGAAAUGCGUAGAGAUCGGAAGGAACAUCUGUGGCGAAGGCGACUAUCUGGGCCAACACUGACACUGAGGCACGAAAGCGUGGGGAGCAAACAGGAUUAGAUACCCCUGUAGUCCCUGUCUCUUAUAA